CACUGUCAACUAUUCCAGCUUGCACCAACCUCAUCAACUUUCCUGAACACUCCUCGACCACUGGAUCCUCAACUCUGUCUCCUCGCCUAGCAUUAGCCUUAUUCACAAUCUCAAUCAAUCAUCUCAUCUUUAAGCCUUUCUGAAAUGGUUAGAAAGGAAUAGCAAGGGUGAGCAACAAUGCUCAGCAAGUAAUAAUAAACAAUGAUAGUUCUGAAAUGAUAUAACAGAAGUUCACGAGUUCAAGAUAUAAGAGGAUUCAACCUGAGUUCAUGAGUUCAUGGUAUUGUAUAGAAUGAUUUACAAUACCUUGCAGCAUUUAAACUGAGAAAUUCAAUCUUUCCAAAGAAUUAUUGAAUUGGACUAUCACAUUUUAAUUAAAACCAAGGUUAGGCAGCUGAUCAGUUCCGCACUAACCCCGAGCAGGCCCCGCCAUGCUCUAUCACUGGAUCCAAGGCACUCAUUGGCCUAACAUGACCACGAAUCUGGUCCACAGGUUUAUAUAAAAACAAUAAUCCAAUUCUCUAAUUCAAUUCAAGAAGCCAAUGUAAAUUAACAGAACAUCAUCAUAAAUAUCAUCAACAACAGAAUAAUUCCAAUUCAAACUUUGAUAAUAAUCUAUUCAUAAAUCAUGAUCCAUCAUUUCAUAAAUCACAGUUCAGGAAAUCCUCAACUAUUCAGUAUCCUCCAUUAUCGGCUAAGCAACUGAAUUUAGCCUGCUAAACCAGCAUGACAAUGGUGGGUUGAAUAAUCAAGAAGAUCCCAAUUCAUUCAAAGCUCUAACUAUCACUGAGCAACACAUGCUUCAAUGACAAUCUGAACUUCGAAUUAAUUUGUAGAACGGACAUUCUUUAGAAACUUGAAGAUUAGAAAGAAUGGGUCAGAAUACUCGCACUUUCGAACAUUGAAAAGAAAGGUAUGAAUACUUGAAACAUAUACCAAAGGAAUGGAUCAGAAUAUUUGCAAUAUAUCCAAGAGAAAGGUUUAGGAUACUUGCCUUAAAUCUGACUCCAGUCUCACAGCUCAUUCUCAUCUUUCCACUUUCACAAUCUAUGCAUCUCAUAAUCUCUAGACCAUCUCU
This 1078-nucleotide long non-coding RNA is filed under the name Daucus carota (carrot). RNAcentral describes it as "long non-coding RNA (DCAR_LNC004080)". Lineage: Eukaryota; Viridiplantae; Streptophyta; Magnoliopsida; Apiales; Apiaceae. The record is from RNAcentral.